Molecule: long non-coding RNA, 854 nt
Filed under: Mus pahari (shrew mouse)
Lineage: Eukaryota; Metazoa; Chordata; Mammalia; Rodentia; Muridae
Description: lncRNA (MGP_PahariEiJ_G0005879.1)
Source: RNAcentral
CUCCCCCAAACAUAUUCUUUCUUCCUAUCUUUUAUAAAACACAACAUUCACCUCCAGGGAUGGAAGAUUCCUGUCUCCUUGGAGUGACUCCAUAAAUCAGCUUCAAAUCUUAGAUAUCUGGGCCACUGGCCUUGUCCUUGUUGCCAUUAACUCUAGGACAUGAGCUUCACUCUAAGUAUCCUGGUGACACAGGGAAGUGGAUCUGAGGGGACAACACUUGGAUGAAGGGUAUCAUAUGGCAGGAGGCACUUGAGAAAGUGACUCUCAGCAGUGGAAGUUAAUGAGAAGAAGGAAGGGGGCAGAAACUGGAGCAGCAUGGACCCUGCCACCAUCUGGUAUCUCUCCAGAGCUCCGCAGACCCUGAAGAGUGGCCCACAAUCUUCUCAUGUAGAAAUUCUGUUGAUACCCCAGUUAGACUUUGGCCAAGACAAAGGAGACAAAUGGCCAUUCAAAGCUAGGCUCUCUCUUGUGGUACCUCUCUGAUUUUGCUCCCAUGUCUUCCUCCUGAUGUUUGGAUAAAGAACGUUCAGCUUCAUGGAAGUUGGGACCACAAGCAAGAAGCAACAUAAGCAUGUCAGACAGCUCCACCAACUCAAGAGAAGAGGCUUCAGCUGAAACUUACCCUGCCACUCCUUUGGUCUUGGACUGCCAUUGUUUAGCUCUGUAAGGAAUACAUUCCUAUGAUUUGAGCCAUUCACUCCAUGGUAUCUUACAUGGUGGCCUGCAAAGACCAAGAUUCCUUUCUCAUAUCUGCAUUCUCCUUGUCCCAAUGUGGCAGUUUUCAAAUCUUUGCAAAUUAAUGGUCUUUCCUUCCAAUCUGAUCUCCCAUAAUUCACUACCACCUCCAGAACAGC